CUUCAACCAUUGAUGUUAUCGCGCCCAGCGUGAAGGGCUGAGCCGAUAAUUACCGUCUGCUGUGGUCAAACACUCGAUGACAACAACACCUGUAGAUCCGCGGAACAUCUGCCCUCUAGUGCCGAGUAAACAUGCUGCUGUUACCGCGAUGCUGUGGACUCUUUGGCUAGUUUUACUCCAGUAAAUAUUCACCAGGUGCGCUGGAAACGCACUCGUGAGCUAAUUCGAGGCAAAGUAAAGCUCUCAUCUGGGAUUGGUAAGAGUCUCUCCAAGCACCCUGAAGACUUCCAGCUCAUUCUUGAUUGCACAUGGCAGCCUCUGACCUGCACCGAAGGCACCCGCUGCCAUGGAAGAUUGAUGAUUAUCGAUGCAGAAACCCUUUGCUAAUUCAGCGUACAAGGCACUGUCCUCUCUUGAGAGAGACAAAAAAACACCCAGCCAUGUUGAAGUGGGGAGUGGAAUUAUAUACAAAAGUCCUUUCAAGUCAAUGAUCAAUCACAGUCUCUCGCUGCAACUGCACAUUAUCAAGUGCCGCGCUCAGAGAACUUACAGAGAAUGAUGGGACUGAUCAGAGGUAGUGUUGGGAGGCCUUGACCUUUGUCUCCUUUUAUAAACCGUGGAGGAAGUUGCGCUUGAUCCCAGUGUUUUCCAGCACCUGCAAAAUGUCAACCUGUUUAGAUUUGAAGCAGAGACACUGAUAGGACCAUCUGGACCUUCACUCAUGACAUCCAGCCAUGGCCCGUGUUCGUGGCCAACGCACCCUGAAAAUGGAUCAGCGAAGACCUCAUUUGUAACAUUUUGACUAGCACAAGGUGAAAGACCCAAAGAUGAAAAAAAGAGAAUCAAACAUUAGCUAGCUAAAUUGAUUCAAAGCUCAUCCACCAUCUAGUAAAAAGAUACUCGUCUGCUGUAAAUAUCAUUUUGGGCGCUUUUUUCCACUUGUCAAAACAAAGAUCUGCAAUUGCUAUUAGGCUUAAUCUUUGGGUUGAUUGUCUUAAACACAUUAACACAUUCUUGACUCCUACCCUCAUCUGGAAAACGCCUUUCUGUUAAAGUGCAUCCAUUCCAGGUGCAGACUUUUUAUGUCAGUCGGAUUUCCCUCUUUUAUUCCUGCAAUCCUUACAAAAGAUGAACAUCUAUGCUCUAAUUUUCUUUAGCUACGCUAAGUUAAAGGAGUAGUU
Pimephales promelas (fathead minnow) is the source of this 1181-nucleotide non-coding RNA. The record is from RefSeq and is a predicted model, not a curated record. Lineage: Eukaryota; Metazoa; Chordata; Actinopteri; Cypriniformes; Leuciscidae.